GACGAACGCUGGCGGCGUGCUUAACACAUGCAAGUCGAACGGUAAGGCCCUUCGGGGUACACGAGUGGCGAACGGGUGAGUAACACGUGGGUGAUCUGCCCUGCACUUCGGGAUAAGCCUGGGAAACUGGGUCUAAUACCGGAUAGGACUCCGGACUGCAUGGUCUGGGGUGGAAAGCUUUUGCGGUGUGGGAUGGGCCCGCAGCCUAUCAGCUUGUUGGUGGGGUGAUGGCCUACCAAGGCGACGACGGGUAGCCGGCCUGAGAGGUUGACCGGCCAGACUGGGACUGGGAUACGGCCCAGACUACUACGGGAGGCAGCAGUGGGGAAUAUUGCACAAUGGGCGCAAGCCUGAUGCAGCGACGCCGCGUGAGGGAUGACGGCCUUCGGGUUGUAAACCUCUUUCAGCAUCGACGAAGCGAAAGUGACGGUAGGUGCAGAAGAAGGACCGGCCAACUACGUGCCAGCCGCCGCCGUAA
This 478-nucleotide ribosomal RNA is filed under the name uncultured bacterium. RNAcentral describes it as "partial 16S ribosomal RNA". It matches the Rfam family "Bacterial small subunit ribosomal RNA", at positions 28 to 523 of the family's 1533-position model. The record is from RNAcentral.